GUGAGGAAUAUUGGUCAAUGGGCGAAAGCCUGAACCAGCCAUGUCGCGUGAAGGAUGAAGGUCCUAUGGAUUGUAAACUUCUUUUGCAGGAGGGUAAAGUGAGCUACGUGUAGUUCAUUGCAAGUACCCUGCGAAUAAGCAUCGGCUAACUCCGUGCCAGCAGCCGCGGUAAUACGGAGGAUGCGAGCGUUAUCCGGAUUUAUUGGGUUUAAAGGGUGCGUAGGCGGACUAAUUAGUCAGCGGUGAAAUUUUGCGGCUCAACCGUAAAACUGCCGUUGAAACUGUUAGUCUUGAGUGCGGUAGAGAUAGGCGGAAUGUGUGGUGUAGCGGUGAAAUGCUUAGAUAUCACACAGAACACCGAUUGCGUAGGCAGCUUACUGGAGCGCAACUGACGCUGAGGCACGAAAGCGUGGGGAUCGAACAGGAUUAGAAACCCUUGUAGUCC
This 445-nucleotide ribosomal RNA is filed under the name uncultured bacterium. RNAcentral describes it as "partial 16S ribosomal RNA". It matches the Rfam family "Bacterial small subunit ribosomal RNA", at positions 354 to 796 of the family's 1533-position model. The record is from RNAcentral.